Molecule: long non-coding RNA, 2645 nt
Organism: Micropterus salmoides (largemouth bass)
Lineage: Eukaryota; Metazoa; Chordata; Actinopteri; Centrarchiformes; Centrarchidae
Exons: 3
Source: RefSeq, a predicted model, not a curated record
CAGAGAGCGAGGAACGGCUGACUGUUUGGGGUGUAUCUGGACUGCUACAAUGGACGGAGAUUUAUUUAUUUUUGCUGAGUUACAUCUAAAUUUUUGCGGUGAUCCUGUCAUAAUCAUGGCUUUGGAGAAUGCAGGUACGAGGACAUGUGCAGGUGGUGAGCAACUGAACCAUGACAGGCCUAACAUAACUCCAGGAUGACAACAUAGAUAACUCCUGGCUGGAUGACUUCAUUAGAGAGCUGGGGGAAAGAGAUUUAACAUUUCUCUCUCCUGAAGAAAAAGAGGACAAAGAGCAGGGGCACACCUGUUUGGACACGCUGGACUGUUUCAAUUACCACACAUCAUCUGACUCUACUGUUUGCUGUAUUAUAGAGGAACUUGCUGAACCAGGAAGUUAAGCCCAGGAGGUAGUGCUGCCAUGUCUUUGAGGCAGGAGUUUCAGCGAAGGCAGUAAGGUGAUCUGGGCAGGCCCUCCUUCAAUAUGACAUGCCCCAGAAAUGGAAUAUUUGUUUGACCAAAUGAGCUUUUGUCAAAGUAUAAAUUUGCCUGGAGUCACUGUCAAUGCAGAAAAUUAAAGAUUGUAAUCUGGAUAUAAAGGUUAUUAAGUUUAGGCCACAGUGUAUUUCUUCUGUAAAUGUGUUCCAGCUCUGUGGAGCUAAAUGCUGCCGUAAUGUUGCUUAAAAUUCUUAAGAACAGUAAUAAGAUAGAUGUUCAUAAAUAAAAUGGACAGCGGGAUAAAGAGAGUCAAAGACCAUUUUAUCGAGUGAACAAAACAAUGUUUGCAUGUGAACGAGUGAAAGGUAAGUGAGAUGAAAUUUCACUGAGUCAGAAACACAGGAUGAUCUGGACUAACCAGGAUGUUGGCAGCAUGAUGGCGUUCCUUAACAUAAAAAAAUGUUUUCAGUUUUCAGUUCAAGGAACUUUCUGCACCUGCUCUCUUUUCCUUCCUCAUUCCAGUAUUUUUUUACUGGAAUGAGGAGAUGAUGAAAGAAAACUCACAGGUCACAUGUUUUUCAACAUUACUACAGUUUCUGUCAUACCUGCUCACACAUAUUAUGUUACAUUAUAUUGUUAUUAGUUAGAAAUACAGUGACAUACAUAAAUACAGUUUGGUCAAAAGUCAUUUUACUAAAGACAGUAAUGUCAAUCCAAUUUCAAGUCACUGUGUGUUAGUAUAGCUUUAGUGGAAUACCUUACAAAGUCUGCAUAUUAUUUCUGUUUUUCAAUGAAAACAUAACAAUUCAAAUCAUUUUGGAUUACUAUUAUUAUUUUUACCAUGUUUGUGUGCAAAAAGUUGGAAAAGUUUGAGCACGUAAACAGCCAAAAGGCUUAAAGACGAAACUUGCUGAAGAAGUCUAGAAGACUAACACCAUUACAUCUAGGGAAAGUCAUUUAGUUAGUUUUGAAGCUGUCUACAACUUAUUUUACAUUAAUGGCACAGCACCCAACCUUUUUGGGCCUCCCCACCUAAACCUUUGAAUGGUAUCAAAACCCUGUUAAGAUGAGCUCAGAAGCGUUAUAGAUAGGUUUGCCUUUUGUGUCUUCAUUUACAUCUUUUGAUAUUUAUCUGUAGAAGUUUGUAAGAACCAGCAUCUGUAUUGACUACUUCUGUUUAAUUAUCAAACAUUUAAUUUGUACAUUAUAAUCUCCAUUAUCUUGAUGGGAAAGUUUGGGAUUUUUAAAGUGGAGCUAAAUGAGGUGCUUAUUGAUAGUCAGUGUCGUAGCUGCAGUAGAUGGCAGUCAGCGUGCCCACAGUUUGGAGAAGCAGAGAGUUGCACCGGCACAGGAGCUAACUAAUGUACUGCUGUGGACAGGGUCUGCUGCAAAAUGUAUUUUAGCCUCCUGAUAGAAGGCCGACCAGAAAAAAUCGAUAUCAGUUCAAAGUUACGCUAUAUGUAGAGUAUUAUCAGCUCUUUGCAUCAGACAGUAUUUUCCUUUGGAACUUUAUGUUCUCAACAGUAGAACGUCUGUAUUCCUACGCAUAAAUAGCAUCAAGUCCAAUUAAAGGAACUACUUAAGUAGAUAUAGAAGCUAAAGAGAAAAAUACUUUUGUCUGGUGGAGAGGAGGUGGACAAUGUAAGUGCUAAAGCUGAGUCUUAGUCAAUGAGACCAUUAAAGUUUGUAAUCUGGAUAUAAAGGUUAUUAAAUUUAGGCCACAGUGUAUUUCUUCUGUAAAUGUGUUCUGUGGAGCUAAAUGCUGCCGUAAUGUUGCUUAUAAUUCUUAAGAACAGUAAUAAGAUAGAUGUUCAUAAAUAAAAUGGACAGCGGGAUAAAGAGAGUCAAAGACCAUUUUAUCGAGUGAACAAAACAAUGUUUGCAUGUGAACAAAAAGUGAAAGGUAAGUGAGAUGGAAUUUCACUGAGUCAGAAACACAGGAUGAUCUGGACUAACCAGGAUGUUGGCAGCAUGAUGGCGUUCCUUAAGAUAAAAAAAUGUUUUCACAGUUUUCAGUCUAAGGAACUUUCUGCACCUGCUCUCUUUUCCUUCCUGAUUCCAGUAAAAAAAGCUUUUGGUAUUUUCCAAGAGGAGAUGAUGAAAGAAAACUCACAGGUCACAUGUUUUUCAACAUUACUACAGUUUCUGUCAUACCUGCUCACACAUAUUAUGUUACAUUAUAUUGUUAUUAGUUAGAAAUACAGGUGCUG